This is a non-coding RNA of Schizosaccharomyces pombe (fission yeast), 546 nucleotides long. The record is from the annotation of a GenBank genome assembly. Lineage: Eukaryota; Fungi; Ascomycota; Schizosaccharomycetes; Schizosaccharomycetales; Schizosaccharomycetaceae.
CGAAAGAUUUGCACCAUAAAGUAAAAAAUACUCUUUCCACAUUCGUAGCUUUGCCCGUUCUCUAGAGAUUCGAGGAUCGGUGGGAUAACCAUAUCGAGCACCGAAUCCAUAAGAAUCUUUAGUUUCUGGUUCGGGAACAUUGGGUUUGCAAAGGCGUUCAGAAAAGAACUGUUUGCUAAACUCGGAGGACCGCUGCAUAUCAGCUUUGUGAGAUACAAGCUCUUCUCUCAGUAAUUGGCAAAAAUGUGCAGCAGUGGUUUCAGAAACCUGCAGAGAUAUUCUGUAUUCGUAACCAUUGCUUGUCGAUACCGACAACAAUUGCUCAAGAUCAUUGCUUUUCACUCGACUAACUUUUCGAAUUAUAGUAUAUGGCAUACAAAAUUGAUUAGACUCAUCAUCACCUUGAAAAGCUAUAUAAUCAGUAAAUAAAUAAAGCAGACCAUUAAAUGAAUUAGGGUCUUCCAAGUUAUUAUAGUGGACAAAUCGAAGUUGACAGGGCAAACUGUAGAGGGCAAAUUGAGAUUCAAGAAGUCGAAACUUCCAUCG